This is a non-coding RNA of Hassallia byssoidea VB512170, 73 nucleotides long. The record is from Rfam. NCBI's taxonomy places the organism in Bacteria, Bacillati, Cyanobacteriota, Cyanophyceae, Nostocales, Tolypothrichaceae.
GGCUCUUUCGUCUACGUGGCUAGGACGCCGCCCUUUCACGGCGGAAAAAGGAGUUCAAGUCUCCUAAGAGUCA